Molecule: ribosomal RNA, 440 nt
Filed under: uncultured bacterium
Lineage: Bacteria
Description: partial 16S ribosomal RNA
Rfam family: Bacterial small subunit ribosomal RNA
Source: RNAcentral
CCUACGGGAGGCAGCAGUGGGGAAUAUUGCACAAUGGGGGGAACCCUGAUGCAGCGACGCCGCGUGAGUGAAGAAGUAUUUCGGUAUGUAAAGCUCUAUCAGCAGGGAAGAAGAUGACGGUACCUGACUAAGAAGCCCCGGCUAACUACGUGCCAGCAGCCGCGGUAAUACGUAGGGGGCAAGCGUUAUCCGGAUUUACUGGGUGUAAAGGGAGCGUAGACGGCAGGGCAAGUCUGGAGUGAAAGCCCGGGGCCCAACCCCGGGACUGCUUUGGAAACUGCCAUGCUAGAGUGCUGGAGAGGUAAGCGGAAUUCCUAGUGUAGCGGUGAAAUGCGUAGAUAUUAGGAGGAACACCAGUGGCGAAGGCGGCUUACUGGGCUUUUACUGACGCUGAGGCUCGAAAGUAUGGGGAGCAAACAGGAUUAGAUACCCCUGUAGUC